AUACGUAGGAUUCGAGCGUUGUCCGGAUUUACUGGGCGUAAAGGGUGCGUAGGCGGCGCGGUAAGUCUCAUGUGAAAUCUCCCGGCUUAACUGGGAGGGGUCAUGGGAAACUGCCAUGCUCGAGGGCAGCAGAGGAGAGCGGAAUUCCGGGAGUAGCGGUGAUAUGCGUAGAUACCCGGAGGAACACCCGUGGCGAAAGCGGCUCUCUGGGCUGUACCUGACGCUAAGGCACGAAAGCGUGGGGAGCAAACCGGAUUAGAAACCCCAGUAGUCC
Molecule: ribosomal RNA, 274 nt
Filed under: uncultured bacterium
Lineage: Bacteria
Description: partial 16S ribosomal RNA
Rfam family: Bacterial small subunit ribosomal RNA
Source: RNAcentral